UAAGGAAUAUUGGUCAAUGGGCGCAAGCCUGAACCAGCUAUGCCGCGUGCAGGAUGAAGGCCUUCAGGUCGUAAACUGCUUUUAUGCGAGAAAAAUAAGCUUCUGCGGAAGUUAAUGAUGUUAUCGCAUGAAUAAGCACCGGCUAACUCCGUGCCAGCAGCCGCGGUAAGACGGAGGGUGCAAGCGUUAUCCGGAUUUACUGGGUUUAAAGGGUACGUAGGCUGUUUUAUAAGUCAGUGGUGAAAACUAGCAGCUCAACUGUUAAAGUGCCAUUGAUACUGUAAAACUUGAGUAUAGUAGAAGUGGGUGGAAUUCUACAUGUAGCGGUGAAAUGCAUAGAUAUGUAGAGGAACACCAAUAACGAAGGUAACUCACUAAGCUAUUACUGACGCUGAGGUACGAAAGCGUGGGGAGCAAACAGGAUUAGAUACCCGCGUAGUCC
This 442-nucleotide ribosomal RNA is filed under the name uncultured prokaryote. RNAcentral's name for it is "bacterial SSU rRNA". It matches the Rfam family "Bacterial small subunit ribosomal RNA", at positions 355 to 796 of the family's 1533-position model. The record is from RNAcentral.